UUGAAAAUUUCAGAAACUUCUUUUUCAAUGCUGUAGAAAAUGACAUUUUAAAGAACAACAACAACAACAAUAACAGCAACAACCAAAAAGUCAUUUUAUGUGAUGUGCAGGCAUGGCUGUGACUGGAACUGGGACCUGAAUGAUUUUGAUUCAUUGCUCUCCAGGUGUUGGGGAGCCCUAUAGGAACACUUUGGAGGACAGUGCAAAAGCUAAGGCAGUAUUAUCCUUGCUGACAAAUCAAACUUCAAAAAGACAAACUGUUCUCUAUAGCACAAGGGUCAUUGGUUUGUACUGAGUCAUCAUUGCAGAGGCAGGAGACAGCUGGUGGCACUGGGAAAUAACCAAUUCCUUUAACAACUGGCUGAUGUGUGUUUAGCUUGGCGUGCAUCUAUAUACACAUAAGUAUACACUGCAGUAUUUUAAAAUCUGUGUAUGUCUCUGUUGUCUGUGCUUAUUACUGUCAUCUUGUGAAAUCAGUCCUUUCAUGAAAUAAUUAGAGGUUUCAAGCAUUUUUGCCAACUGACUGGCAUUACAGGUGUUCUGGAUCAUAUGCCUGUUUCACUUGGUUUCAUAAACUGACAGAAGGUGAAUCCUGGCAUUAUCCAUGUGCUUUCACACUGUGGUUAUGUGGGAAAUAACAUCUGUAGCCACUUCUUACUACUCAGGGAAUUAAUAAACAACAGUGGUGAUAUGGACCAAAGGAGCAGUCAUGCAUUUCUCAGUCCUCUGGAAAUUCCCUAGCCAUGGGACCACAUGCCCUUUUGUUGACUCUCCUUCUGGGAACUUCUUUACACUGAAAGUAUCUCCAGGGCCUGUUGCUGGAUCCACACCUGUUCUCCUUCCACUCCUAUUGCAAAUAGAUUUUCCCUCAUUUUGACAGGCAGUGAGUACUGUGUAUUAAUAGCAGCUCUCUUCAGAGGUUUUGCAGGUGGGAUGGGCCAUGGUCUCCAUCUGAUCCAGGUGCUCAUUGAUGGAGUCCAGCACACCAUCAGCUGCUCUCCUGGGCUGCUCAUUCCUGAGCUGCUGACAGGAAGCCUUUCCUUAGCAGGUGAGUGUGG
RNAcentral lists this long non-coding RNA (1058 nucleotides) under Cyanistes caeruleus (blue tit). Its description in RNAcentral is "lncRNA (ENSCCEG00000002344.1)". Lineage: Eukaryota; Metazoa; Chordata; Aves; Passeriformes; Paridae. The record is from RNAcentral.